This 19-nucleotide unclassified non-coding RNA is filed under the name Chlamydomonas reinhardtii. RNAcentral describes it as "small RNA Cre_0235". Lineage: Eukaryota; Viridiplantae; Chlorophyta; Chlorophyceae; Chlamydomonadales; Chlamydomonadaceae. The record is from RNAcentral.
ACCAGGAGGGCGGUGCCGC